AUUGAACGCUGGCGGCAUGCCUUACACAUGCAAGUCGAACGGCAGCGCGGGGCAACCUGGCGGCGAGUGGCGAACGGGUGAGUAAUAUAUCGGAACAUACCCUAGAGUGGGGAUAACGUAGCGAAAGUUACGCUAAUACCGCAUACGCACUAAGGUGGAAAGUGGGGGAUUCGCAAGAACCUCAUGCUCAUGGAGUGGCCGAUAUCUGAUUAGCUAGUUGGUGAGGUAAAGGCUCACCAAGGCGACGAUCAGUAGCUGGUUUGAGAGAACGACCAGCCACACUGGAACUGAGACACGGUCCAGACUCCUACGGGAGGCAGCAGUGGGGAAUUUUGGACAAAUGGGGGGCAACCCUGAUCCAGCAAUGCCGCGUGAGUGAAGAAGGCCUGG
This 390-nucleotide ribosomal RNA is filed under the name uncultured bacterium. Its description in RNAcentral is "bacterial SSU rRNA". It matches the Rfam family "Bacterial small subunit ribosomal RNA", at positions 30 to 419 of the family's 1533-position model. The record is from RNAcentral.